Molecule: long non-coding RNA, 785 nt
Organism: Manis pentadactyla (Chinese pangolin)
Lineage: Eukaryota; Metazoa; Chordata; Mammalia; Pholidota; Manidae
Exons: 2
Source: RefSeq, a predicted model, not a curated record
GCCCAGGUCCACUCUGCAGCGGGCCAAGCCGUGGAAGGACAGCAAGCUGAUGUCUGGUGGCUGGGCUUGGCUGGAGGCCCUGCCCUCAGCUGUGCUUGACCUGGGCCCCCCGCUGAGCCUCCGCCUGUCCUCAUCUGUGACCCCGGAGGGGUGGUCCCAGAGAUCCCACCCUCCUCGGAGCUGCAGAGUCACUGGGACCCGAGGCACCUGCGUUGACACACCCAGGGUUGCGCAAGGCACUGGCGGUGACGCAGCCGGGACCCCAGCCCAGCUCUCCGGAAGGGGAGUCUCGCUCUGAUCCCGGGUGGGGGAGAUGGGGUCACGUUCCUCCCGGGUGGCCGCUCUCCCCCCUCCGCGCAGCACCCUCAGGGCCGGGAUCCGCUUCUACCGGCCGCGCCGCGCCAAGAGGGGCUCGGGCCGCGGGUAGCGCUAAGGAGGCGCUGGGGCAGGAGCAAGGGACACGGCGGGGCUCGCUGUGGGUCUGAGCCCUUUGGGAAACUGAUGCCCAGCCCUGGUGUCCCUCCAACGAGCUCAGGUCCCCAGGGGUCCUUCUAGGAGUGUCCCGACACUGCCGGGCACAGACGGGCCCGCCAGGAAGGUGCCCCCGGCCCCCCGGCGGAGGAGGCGACCCUCCCGGACCUGCAGGCAGGUGGCGGGGCGGAGCCCGGGGUGCCCGCAGGAACGCGUCGGGACCGGGCGGCGGAGCCCCUCGGGACCAGCCUCUGCAGGCCUGGGAGACCCCGCGAGCGGCGGGGCCCAGGCGGCAGGUCGGCGCGACCCGUCCU